Molecule: long non-coding RNA, 1716 nt
Organism: Oncorhynchus tshawytscha (Chinook salmon)
Lineage: Eukaryota; Metazoa; Chordata; Actinopteri; Salmoniformes; Salmonidae
Exons: 4
Source: RefSeq, a predicted model, not a curated record
AGUAGGUGGGGGCGGUACAUCCUGUAUAAACACAAAUUCACUUCUUGACAACUUCCUUGAUAACAAACAUGAACUUUGACCAAAGGCUAUCAGAAAAAGUUCACAAAUAAAAAACAUUUACGAUACCUCGUGUAAGGAAUUUCAAAGACACAGAAAUUAGUUUGAACUCCUGGAAAGAGAUCGGGGAUCCAAUUUGGUUUCUAAAAUCGGAUUAUAUUUGGCUGAUUUCACUGCAUAACAUUUAGAAGUUGUCCCUUUUCAGGUUUAGAAAAACGAACUCAUUCGUAUCAGCAUACAGAAAUCGAAAGUGGUAAUUAAAGUAGUUUUUACCCGUAAUGCAGUUGGUUGAUGAUGACAUCAAUGUAUUGGGUUUGACAGAUUCUGACCCCAACAUAGUGUGGAGUACACAAAUAAACAAUAGCCUAAAUGUAGAAUAAUUUUGCUGUGAAACAAUGAGAUUCGUGGGGGGAAACGGUGCAGUCGUUUUACAUCAUGCUAUCUUGGCUGAGCUCCUGUGUCAAGCACUGGGAAACGGACUCCAACAUCUCAGAAGAGGAGGAGUAGCGAGAAGGAUCGGAGGACCAAUGCGCAGCGUGGUAGUUGGAUAGCUCCAGGUUCUUGCAGAGGAGGUAGCAGAAAUGAGAGACUGAAAACGCGUGCAUCCAGUUGUGAUAUGGAGGAUCCCUGUAGCCUCUCUUCACCAUCAGACAAAACCUGGCCAGCGUGUUCAUGUUGAUCUUGUAGGUGUUUAUGAAGCCCAUGUCCUCAAACAUGCUGAUCACGGCCUAGGAACAGGAGGCAUAAUCGAGAGACAUGAGAAAACAGAAAUAAUACACACUACCAGUGUCUUUCUCCAAGAUUGUGUGUUGACUGUCUCACUGUGGGUGUGCUAUCGUCUGACAGGGAGCGAGGUGUGUAGGUGAAGCUGGAGAAGCUGGGGUGUAUUUCCCCUACAGCCUGGAUGCCCACAGUCAGUAGCCGGGUCACUUCCUCGUCUGACACCUGAGGGACAGGGUCAAAGGUCAGGACAUUAACUGCCAAAUAUAACAAAAUGGCUGGAUCUGCAUUCAUAGAUUGAAGAGAUAAGUGGCUGGAUCUGCAUUCAUAGAUUGAAGAGAUAAGUGGCUGGAUCUGCAUUCAUAGAUUGAAGAGAUAAGUUGAAUAGGUUGAAGAAGAGCUCUGAUUGGAUGCUUUACCAUCAUGUGGUACUUCAUCAUCUCAUUGGCCAGCUGACUCCUAAACUGUGCUUCAUCGACCCUCUUAUACAGGAGGGACUGAGGAACAGAAAGCACAGGAGUCAUUCAGCAUGAUGACAAUAUUGUUGAUGACAAAUUAUUGUUAAACAAUUUAUCAAUAUCCACAGUAAGGACGAUAACUUUAACUUUUUGGUAUUUAUUAUUGUUCUAAUUCAGGUGAACAGGAGCGUUCAUAGUACAACGACAACUACAAAAAGAGUGGGGAACGAUUACAAGAGCUAUCGUUUGGAUCACUUUCAAAGUGAUUUAUUUUCCAUAUCCCUUUGAUGAUAAAAAAUUGACAACCAAUCGAAAAAGCAUUCUCUUGAAGUUUUCUUGGUUCUAGCUGCGCAAGGCUGCUCGGGGAAGAGAGACGGCUGAGUGCAUGGCACAGGCGAGGGCCACAACCUUGGUGGUGGCCCGACACUCAACAGGAACACACAGCAUAGAGAGAACUUCAAAUCCCAGAGUGCUGUUCAGC